Molecule: long non-coding RNA, 1497 nt
Organism: Pelodiscus sinensis (Chinese soft-shelled turtle)
Lineage: Eukaryota; Metazoa; Chordata; Testudines; Trionychidae
Source: RefSeq, a predicted model, not a curated record
UGUAAGAAGGGAGAGGCAAGGAGAUAGGUGUGGGGAAAAGCGUGGGUUGAAAUAUGACAGGAACACGAAGGCAUGCAAAGGUUGGUGAGCUACAUUGGGAACGGUAAUCGUAGCAUGAGCCAGUGACUGAUGAGAGCUGAGUAAAAGCUCAGUUAUUUGGCACUCAAUGAACCAGAAGGCUGAAUUAACCAGCAUUUCUGAUAUCUCCCAAUGCAAAUCUUCAGUAUAGUAACAGAGACCAGUAUACUUCCCUGCACAUUACACAAUUACAUAACUUGCACUCUGCUUUCAUGCAAAAGAGGUAAAAAAACUAAAAUCUGGGACUUAUUCAAAAAAGCAGCUUCCAAGGUGUAUCAUAGGGUCACUACAGAUUCAGCCCAACCUGAUAAACUUUCUACAUCUACAAUGAUGACUGACAUUGCUAAUGAUGACCCUGAGUCACUGCAAGAUCCUGAAGUGCCUUCUGAAUCAUCAAAGAAAGAUUAGAUAAUGUCCAGUGUAUAGUUUUAGUGUUAAGUGUAUUUUAAGUGAUCUGUGUGUGGCCUAAAGUGAUAUGCAGUGUGAUAACCUGCUGUAUAGAAAACUUUACCUGUACACACCUAAGUGCUUCAAGACACCAGCCACUCUACAGUGCAGUACUACUGCUGGACUGAGUCUUUGGAUGAAUUAUAUUUUGUUGACAAAGUCUGAAGAGGAAGCAAAAGAAAUCAGGUCAUAAUGCCACUUUCAAGAGCUGGCAAGUUCACUGUGAAGUGAAGUAAAGUAAAAUUUACUACAGUGAUUACACAUGCAGAACAAUGACUUUUUUCUCCCCUUAGAAGGCAUUUUGUUCUAGAGUUCUUAAUUUAAAUAAAUAUUUUAAUUGGCAAAUCUUGAACAACAAGUGAAAAAUUAAUUCAACCCAUUCAAAAUUUCAGUUAAAGAACAAAUAAAAUAAUGGAAACACCUCUAGGAAUGAUACCCCAUGCCCUGAACCAGCUUUAACUGAUGCAAAACACAGCAGCCCAUCUGCUUAGAAACACAGAGCAGAGCAUGUGGAGUGGUGUUUUCGUGGUGACCUAUUCUCUACACUGGAUACCUAUCAAAUACAAAGUGGAGUUCAAGGUCUUAAGUUCAAGCUCUCAAGAACAUUCAAAGCCUUCCAUGAGAGAACUUUCACCCCUGCCACUAUGGAAAUAAAGCUGUCAGCCAAAUAAGAGGCUCUUGAGUGCAGGAGAUAGAACUUCAAAAGGAACCAAAUCUAGAUUAUGUAAGUCAUACUUGAAAGAGGUAAGAAUGGCCAUGAAACCAUCCACUGUGAGAGCUAAACACCAGGACUGCCAACAGGGGCAGGUGAAAGGAACAAUUUCCCAGUAGCCCGGGCCAUUUAAACAGGUCUUGGGUGCAGAACUGAUUCCAAUACCACCUACCUGGCUGAUUAGUAGAGCACAGACCACAGCAUGCAUUCAGGUGCCCCUAUCCUACAUAGCUCUGUAAGGCAGAAAUGCUGAAUAGAGA